GAUGGAUAACAGGUUGAUAUUCCUGUACCACCUAUAAUCGUUUUAAUCGAUGGGGGGACGCAGUAGGAUAGGCGAAGCGUGCGAUUGGAUUGCACGUCUAAGCAGUAAGGCUGAGUAUUAGGCAAAUCCGGUACUCGUUAAGGCUGAGCUGUGAUGGGGAGAAGACAUUGUGUCUUCGAGUCGUUGAUUUCACACUGCCGAGAAAAGCCUCUAGAUAGAAAAUAGGUGCCCGUACCGCAAACCGACACAGGUAGUCAAGAUGAGAAUUCUAAGGUGAGCGAGCGAACUCUCGUUAAGGAACUCGGCAAAAUGACCCCGUAACUUCGGGAGAAGGGGUGCUCUUUAGGGUUAACGCCCAGAAGAGCCGCAGUGAAUAGGCCCAAGCGACUGUUUAUCAAAAACACAGGUCUCUGCUAAACCGUAAGGUGAUGUAUAGGGGCUGACGCCUGCCCGGUGCUGGAAGGUUAAGAGGAGUGGUUAGCUUCUGCGAAGCUACGAAUCGAAGCCCCAGUAAACGGCGGCCGUAACUAUAACGGUCCUAAGGUAGCGAAAUUCCUUGUCGGGUAAGUUCCGACCCGCACGAAAGGCGUAACGAUUUGGGCACUGUCUCAACGAGAGACUCGGUGAAAUCAUAGUACCUGUGAAGAUGCAGGUUACCCGCGACAGGACGGAAAGACCCCGUGGAGCUUUACUGUAGCCUGAUAUUGAAAUUCGGCACAGCUUGUACAGGAUAGGUAGGAGCCUUUGAAACGUGAGCGCUAGCUUACGUGGAGGCGCUGGUGGGAUACUACCCUAGCUGUGUUGGCUUUCUAACCCGCACCACUUAUCGUGGUGGGAGACAGUGUCAGGCGGGCAGUUUGACUGGGGCGGUCGCCUCCUAAAAGGUAACGGAGGCGCUCAAAGGUUCCCUCAGAAUGGUUGGAAAUCAUUCAUAGAGUGUAAAGGCAUAAGGGAGCUUGACUGCGAGACCUACAAGUCGAGCAGGGCCGAAAGACGGACUUAGUGAUCCGGUGGUUCCGCAUGGAAGGGCCAUCGCUCAACGGAUAAAAGCUACCCCGGGGAUAACAGGCUUAUCUCCCCCAAGAGUUCACAUCGACGGGGAGGUUUGGCACCUCGAUGUCGGCUCAUCGCAUCCUGGGGCUGUAGUCGGUCCCAAGGGUUGGGCUGUUCGCCCAUUAAAGCGGUACGCGAGCUGGGUUCAGAACGUCGUGAGACAGUUCGGUCCCUAUCCGUCGUGGGCGUAGGAAAUUUGAGAGGAGCUGUCCUUAGUACGAGAGGACCGGGAUGGACAUACCUCUGGUGUACCAGUUGUCGUGCCAACGGCAUAGCUGGGUAGCUAUGUGUGGACGGGAUAAGUGCUGAAAGCAUCUAAGCAUGAAGCCCCCCUCAAGAUGAGAUUUCCCAACUUCGGUUAUAAGAUCCCUCAAAGAUGAUGAGGUUAAUAGGUUCGAGGUGGAAGCAUGGUGACAUGUGGAGCUGACGAAUACUAAUCGAUCGAAGACUUAAUCA
RNAcentral lists this ribosomal RNA (1509 nucleotides) under Staphylococcus aureus subsp. aureus CIG547. RNAcentral describes it as "bacterial LSU rRNA". It matches the Rfam family "Bacterial large subunit ribosomal RNA", at positions 1417 to 2925 of the family's 2925-position model. The record is from RNAcentral. Lineage: Bacteria; Bacillati; Bacillota; Bacilli; Caryophanales; Staphylococcaceae.